UACGAAGGGGGCUAGCGUUGCUCGGAAUCACUGGGCGUAAAGCGCACGUAGGCGGACUCUUAAGUCAGGGGUGAAAUCCUGGAGCUCAACUCCAGAACUGCCCUUGAUACUGGGAGUCUUGAGUUCGGGAGAGGUGAGUGGAACUGCGAGUGUAGAGGUGAAAUUCGUAGAUAUUCGCAAGAACACCAGUGGCGAAGGCGGCUCACUGGCCCGAUACUGACGCUGAGGUGCGAAAGCGUGGGGAGCAAACAGG
RNAcentral lists this ribosomal RNA (253 nucleotides) under uncultured bacterium. RNAcentral describes it as "partial 16S ribosomal RNA". It matches the Rfam family "Bacterial small subunit ribosomal RNA", at positions 524 to 776 of the family's 1533-position model. The record is from RNAcentral.